RNAcentral lists this ribosomal RNA (429 nucleotides) under Gemmatimonadota bacterium. RNAcentral's name for it is "Gemmatimonadetes bacterium partial 16S ribosomal RNA". It matches the Rfam family "Bacterial small subunit ribosomal RNA", at positions 355 to 776 of the family's 1533-position model. The record is from RNAcentral. Lineage: Bacteria; Pseudomonadati; Gemmatimonadota.
UAGGGAAUCUUCGGCAAUGGACGAAAGUCUGACCGAGCAACGCCGCGUGAGUGAAGAAGGUUUUCGGAUCGUAAAACUCUGUUGUUAGAGAAGAACAAGGACGUUAGUAACUGAACGUCCCCUGACGGUAUCUAACCAGAAAGCCACGGCUAACUACGUGCCAGCAGCCGCGGUAAUACGUAGGUGGCAAGCGUUGUCCGGAUUUAUUGGGCGUAAAGCGAGCGCAGGCGGUUUCUUAAGUCUGAUGUGAAAGCCCCCGGCUCAACCGGGGAGGGUCAUUGGAAACUGGGAGACGUGAGUGCAGAAGAGGAGAGUGGAAUUCCAUGUGUAGCGGUGAAAUGCGUAGAUAGAUGGAGGAACACCAGUGGCGAAGGCGGCUCUCUGGUCUGUAACUGACGCUGAGGCUCGAAAGCGUGGGGAGCAAACAGG